UCCGGUUUGUCACCGGCGGUCUCCCUAGAGUUCCCACCAUUACGUGCUGGCAACUAGGGACAAGGGUUGCGCUCGUUGCGGGACUUAACCCAACAUCUCACGACACGAGCUGAUGACAGCCAUGCACCACCUGUGAACGCCCCCGAAGGACACCGCAUCUCUGCGGUUUUAGCGCCCAUGUCAAACCCAGGUAAGGUUCUUCGCGUUGCAUCGAAUUAAUCCGCAUGCUCCGCCGCUUGUGCGGGCCCCCGUCAAUUCCUUUGAGUUUUAGCCUUGCGGCCGUACUCCCCAGGCGGGGCGCUUAAUGCGUUAGCUGCGCCACCGAACAGUAUACUGCCCGACGGCUAGCACUCAUAGUUUACGGCGUGGACUAC
This 374-nucleotide unclassified non-coding RNA is filed under the name uncultured bacterium. RNAcentral describes it as "contains 16S-23S intergenic spacer region". The record is from RNAcentral.